Molecule: long non-coding RNA, 4651 nt
Filed under: Gossypium raimondii (Peruvian cotton)
Lineage: Eukaryota; Viridiplantae; Streptophyta; Magnoliopsida; Malvales; Malvaceae
Description: long non-coding RNA (GRAI_LNC005160)
Source: RNAcentral
GUGAAUAUAAAGCCAUGGGAGGAGACGUUGAGAGCAAUAAAGAAAGGGAGGGAGAGGAUAAAGUGGGAAAAGAGGGAACCUUAUGCCUACUGGAAGGGUAACCCAUACGUUGCUAAAGAUCGGGUAGAUCUUUUGAAAUGCAACCUUUCAGAUAAAAACGACUGGAAUGUUCGGAUUUAUAAGCAGGUGCUUCCUGAAUUAUUAUGUUUCUUCUUUGUGUCAUUGAUGGGCAGGGCUUUUAUAAAUGGAUUGAAAUCAUAAGAAACUUAGGCAACGCCAAGCCAAAUGGGUAACUCUGUGUUUGUAACUCUAAUUGGUUAUUAAUUCAGGAUUGGGGCAAAGAAAGUCAACAAGGGUUCAAGCAUUCGAAAUUGGAAGAUCAAUGUACCCAUAGGUAUACAUAUGCAAAACCCUUUUUUUCUCCUCCUUAUGGAAGGUUUUUAAAUUUUCAAUUUUAAGCAACUUUCAGUCUAAUGAGAUUUUUCAACUUUGCUGCGGUACAAUCUAUAUAAAGAUAUAAAAUCUAUAUAGAAGGAGCAACUUGGUCUGUAAGUGAGAAAUACAUACUGGCAUGUGAUAGCAUGACGUUGUUGAUAAAGCCUAAAUACUAUGAUUUCUUCUCGAGAAGUAUGGUGUCGAUGCAGCAUUACUGGCCUAUCCGUCGCAAAAACAAAUGCAGGGAUCUUAAGUUUGCAGUUGAAUGGGGCAAUAAUCACCCUCACGAGGUACAUAUCCUCAACAAAUGAAAACAUGGAUUGCAAUGAAUUCAAUCAUGUAUAUCUAUCUCUUAAGAAAAUAUAUAAUGUACCUUCAAUUUCGCUUUAUAAACUUGCAGGCACAGGCCAUAGGGAAAGCAGGAAGCAAAUUUAUCGAAGAGACUCUGACAAUGCGAAAUGUGUAUGACUACAUGUUUCAUUUGUUGAACGAAUACUCCAAACUCUUGAAGUUUAAACCAACAGUCCCUUCAAAAGCCCACAGGGUCUGUGCCGAAUCCGUAGCAUGCUUGCAGAAAGGUUUAUGGAAGGAUUUCAUGGUGCAGUCAAUGGUGAAGUCUCCUAGUCAUGAACUUCCAUGUGCAUUGCCUCCCCCAUAUGAACCUCAAGCCAUUCAAGCUUCUCUCGACAGAGAAGACAAAAUAACAAGGCAAGUGGAGACGUGGGAGACAGAAUAUUGGAAAAAAACUAAACCAUAAGAAUCAAUAGAAAGCUAGAAACCUCUCUUUCUCGUUUUUUUCUUUCAUCAACAUCUGUAAUUAGUGUAGCCAAAUUAAGAAAAGCUUAGUCUAUUUCAGAUCAUUCUUGCACUGAUCAUAUGGAAGAAUUUGUAAUUGUAAUCAAAUACAGGACUGAUUUGUAAAUAGCAUUAAGAAACAGAGGAAUUCCUAACUUUAUAUCACCAUUUAGACUACAAGGGUUUACUUGGGAUAUUAGAGGUUAUGAUGUUAAGUUUUCAGAGGAAAUACCCCAUUUAUGUAAAGUUCCUUCUUUAUGUUAAAAUUUAGCUCUAGAAUAUAUAUUAUAUGAUUUAGUAUAAUUACCAAAAGUUAUGUGAAAACUUUGCUAUAGAAUAUAUAUUAUAUUAUAUGAUUUUACAUCAAUAAAUAUUAUUAGGGAACAUAUCAGUCCACUGAAAGAGUGGUAAUAAUACAAAAGACCUUAAGACCGUUUCAAAACAGCAACACAGAGAAAUAGAACAUCUAAAACUUCUUCAAAAUAAGCUCCAGAAAACAGAAGCAGCAGCAACAUAAUUCCAAAGUCAGUGCAGAAAAGGCCAAAGGCAAUGAGCUAAACUCCCUUGAUACAUGUCACCGCAGCUCUUAAAUGGAGAAACAAGGUGUUGAAAAAUAUUGUACGAUUUAGUAGGUAAAAAAAACACUCUAUUCCCUGAGCAAAUUAAUCUCUCUAAAAAAAUUCAAAAAAAUUUAUUUCUUAUUAAUUUUAAAGUUGGGCAAGCGAGAACAAUAGAUAACAACAAUGGCAUUUUCCGUCCAAAAAUCCUACGCGACAAAAAGAAAAGAUAAAGUUUUAUUUCCAGGUGUUGAGUUCUUAUUGGACCAUGUAAUUUAAAUCGAAAACUUCAUUUCCAAUGUAACAACAAAAAAUUAAAUUUCUAACCCAGUAGCCCACUUACCCACCACCCAAACUCGAUCUUAGCCGAUUGCCUAACAUUUUCGAAAUAUUUUUUUUGGAUUGCAUUAUUUGUUAUUGUUAUUUGUUGAUUUUCGAAAUUAACAAAAAUGAAUUUAUCCUUAAUUUUAUGAGAGGAAUUACUUUCUUCAAUUUCGAAUUUGUACUAAUUUAGCAUAAAAAAUUAUUAAAUAGUGUAGUUAAUAUUAAUAUCGUAAAAUAAGUCAAAAUUUGAUUUACUCACAGUAAAAGUUAAAGUAAAGAUAUUAGGUAAUUAACAUUGAAAUAAAUAAUUAUAAUUAUAUUCAAUGUUUCCGUAAAUUAUAUUAUAUUAUAUUACAUUUGCAAUAACAAUAUUUUAAGUAUUAAAAUUAGAUUUACUUGACAAUAAUAUAAACGUAGAAGUAUACAAUAUAAUAAAAUGUUUAAGUAAUACUAUAUUAUAUUUAAAAUAAUAUUUAAAAAUUACUUAGUUAAAUAUAACUUUUUAUAAAUGAAGAUUGUUUUAAUUAACGUUAAAAAAAUUCCAUGUUAAAGUAUGUAUAUUAAAAAAUGUACACUUGGCACAAGAAAAAACUAUGCAAAUGAAGUCAACUUUCCCUACUUGCGAGAAUUCCUUGCCAUAUAAAUGUAUGGCAGGUUUGGUUUUAAAUCAGGAAUAGAGUUGUGGGAAAUACGGUUUCCAUGGUGGAGCAUGUUAAAGUACUUCAAGAGGAUAGGGCUUUUCAAAGGUUGGUGUUGGUCUCAACAACUACUACCUUCAUCUUCUUCUUCCUCUUUCUUAUUCCAGCUCUGCUUAAUUGGAUGGAUAUUGUAAGUCUCCCUCAUAUCAAAACUUGUUGCUUUCCUUCAUCUUUAUACUUUUUUUAAUCAUUUUUAAUAAAUAAAUUUUGAGAAAUUUUGUUUUUACUACCAUCGACUUAUGUUAUGAUAAUAAUAAUUGAGAAUAAGUUAUAUUAAUAUCAUCCUAAAAAGUAUCGUUUUUAAGCACAAAUAAAAUAAUAUCACGUCAUUAAAUUUUAAACAUGACAAAAUAUUAUUAUACACUCAUUUAUAUCUAAUAUAUUCUCCAACUUAAUUUAAAUAUAAUAAAUUAAUUUUUAAAUUAUAAACAAAUAAUUUUAUUCUUUUACAAUUUUAAUAAUUUUUUCCAUAAUUAUGAUGGGAUUUUAUCAAUAUUUUAUUUUUGUCAUUUCAACCAAUACUUUAUUUAUUUUUAUUUAAAUUUUUAAUAAAUAUAUUUGUUAGAUAAAAGUUUUCAACCAUUUUGUGUCAUAAUAUACUAUAUAUUAUAAUUAGUUUGUAAAUUAACGGUGAAAUUUUUUAACUCUAGGGUUAAAUUUGUCCAAUGCAUUCUUAAAUUAUAUUUUAAAAUUUUAAAAUAAAUAAAUUAACUGUAUAGAUAGAAUUCUAUCUACCAAAUAAUUACUCUUUUAUAUAUUUCCAAUCAUGUAUAAUAUAUUUCCAUAUUUCGAAUUUUGUUAAUAAAAGAUUAAUGCAGAUUUUUUGAUCUACUUGUUUCUCAGCUUGUUAUACGGGGCACUCCAAAUGGGCAGUCGAUUUUUACAUCAUGAGAGGAUUGAAUUUCCUCUAAACUGCUCUAAUUCAGUUAAUUUACCCCAAACAUGCCCGGAAAAUUACCCGUCGGUGUUCCAGCCCCAAGAAUCAUCGGCUAGAACUUGCCCAGAUUACUUCUGGUGGAUCCACCAAGAUUUAAAGCAAUGGAAGAGUUCGUGGAUUACAGAAGACAUGAUCGAAAGGGGAAAACCCUGUGCGGAUUUCAGGCUCGUCAUUGUCAACGGAAAGGCCUAUGUGGAGAAGUACAACAGGCCAUAUCAAACCAGGGAUGUAUUUACAAUAUGGGGCAUUUUGCAGCUUCUAAGGUUGUACCCUGGAAAAGUACCAGACUUGGACCUUUUGUUCUUUUGUGGAGACGAUACCGUGAUCAAGAGAAGAAACUACAAAGGACGCUAUGCUGCAUUAGCACCGCCGGUGUUUCAUUAUUGUGGAGAAAAAGCAGCACUGGACAUUGUGUUCCCUGACUGGACCUUCCGGGGAUGGUAAAUUCUGCUACAUAUUGCCAAAAGUCACACGUUCUUAAUGAUAUAUCAAUUUUUUAAUUCUGAUUACCGCAACAAAUUGCUAAUGGAGAAAAAAUGUCAAGUGUUAAUAACUUUUUAUUGCAAUUAGCAAGCUAAUCAUAUUUAGUUUACUUUGUCCUGGCAGGGCAGAGGUGAAUAUAAAGCCAUGGGAGGAGACGUUGAAGGCAAUAAAGAAAGGGAGGGAGAGGAUCAAGUGGACAAAGAGGAAGCCUUAUGCCUACUGGAAGGGUAACCCAUACGUUGCUAAAGAUCGGGUAGAUCUUUUGAAAUGCAACCUUUCAGAUAAAAACGACUGCAAUGUUCGGAUUUAUAAGCAGGUACUUCCUGAAUUAUUAUGUUUCUUCUUUGUGUCAUUGAUGGGCAGGGCUUUUAUAAAUGGAUUGAAAUCAUAAGAAACUUAGGCAACGCCAAGCCAAAUGGAUU